Long non-coding RNA from Lagopus leucura (white-tailed ptarmigan), 362 nucleotides. RefSeq lists it as uncharacterized. The record is from RefSeq and is a predicted model, not a curated record. The transcript is spliced from 3 exons. NCBI's taxonomy places the organism in Eukaryota, Metazoa, Chordata, Aves, Galliformes, Phasianidae.
CGAUGGGCUGCCCGGGCCGGGGAGGUGGCACCGUGCUGGGGGCCGUGUGGGGACAGCGGAGCGGCCGUGUCCCGAGCUGGCGGACAGGGUGCGGGCGGCAAUUCCCAUCGCUUUCUGCAUCUCCGGUCAAACCUCGGUGUUCCCGGGAGGUGCUCGUUUAUUGCACCUCUGUGAAUUCCUUCGGAUUUUGGGAAACGCAGCACGGGUGCCCCGAGCACAUCCCCUCCUCCUGCUGGGAAAGGAGCAACGCUGCGCUGUGCCCUCACCGCUCCGGGAGUGAAUCAUUAACCCUCGGUUACAACCACGGGCUGCAACACGCUCUGCUGCCUUUCCCGGCUCUGCUCCGCGCCGGCGGCUCUGGG